RNAcentral lists this transfer RNA (66 nucleotides) under Panulirus japonicus (Japanese spiny lobster). RNAcentral describes it as "tRNA-His". It matches the Rfam family "tRNA". Rfam says of the family: Transfer RNA (tRNA) molecules are approximately 80 nucleotides in length. The record is from RNAcentral. Lineage: Eukaryota; Metazoa; Arthropoda; Malacostraca; Decapoda; Palinuridae.
AUUUAAGUAGUUUAAAUAAAAACGUUAGUUUGUGGUGCUAAAUAUGUAAAUUGGUUACCUUAAAUC